RNAcentral lists this RNase P RNA (367 nucleotides) under Verrucomicrobiota bacterium. Its description in RNAcentral is "Verrucomicrobia bacterium (gut metagenome) RNase P RNA component class A". It matches the Rfam family "Bacterial RNase P class A". From Rfam's summary of the family: Ribonuclease P (RNase P) is a ubiquitous endoribonuclease, found in archaea, bacteria and eukarya as well as chloroplasts and mitochondria. Its best characterised activity is the generation of mature 5'-ends of tRNAs by cleaving the 5'-leader elements of precursor-tRNAs. The record is from RNAcentral. Lineage: Bacteria; Pseudomonadati; Verrucomicrobiota.
GAAUGCGUGCGACCGGUCGCCGUCCGGAAGGGCGGAGGAAAGUCCGGACUCCGCAGGGUAGAGGAUCCGCCCGUCAAGGGCGGAGGGCACGGAGCAAACCCGUGCGACGGAAAGUGCCACAGAAAACAGACAGCCCGCAAGGGUGAUGGUGAAAAGGCGGGGUAAGAGCCCGCCGGCGCGGCUGAAACGACGCGCGCAGGCAAACCCUCCUCGGAGCAAGAUCAAAUAGGGGAUCGACGGGCGGCCCGUCCGGCGGCGCCUUCGCGAGAAGGGGCCUCAGAUCCCGGGUUGAUUGCGUUAGAUGAAUGACCGGAGUUCCCCGUCCGCGGGGAAUGAACAGAAUCUGGCUUAUUCGCCGCAUUCCUCU